UGAUUAAAAAAUCAAACAAUUUCCUAAAUGGUUGGCAUGUGCAUACAUUUAUUUCUAGUCCUGCAAGCAUAGCCUGUCAAACAUUUAAUUUGAUCUGCAUUUAGUAACAUUCGGCAAGGUCAUUGAAAUCCAAUUGUCUUUUUUUACAAUUUGCUAGAUAACAC
Long non-coding RNA from Syngnathus acus (greater pipefish), 164 nucleotides. RefSeq lists it as uncharacterized. NCBI's taxonomy places the organism in Eukaryota, Metazoa, Chordata, Actinopteri, Syngnathiformes, Syngnathidae. The record is from RefSeq and is a predicted model, not a curated record. The transcript has 2 exons.